UUGGAGGGCAAGUCUGGUGCCAGCAGCCGCGGUAAUUCCAGCUCCAAUAGCGUAUAUUAAAGUUGUUGUGGUUAAAAAGCUCGUAGUUGAACCUUGGGCCUGGCUGGCCGGUCCGCCUCACCGCGUGCACUGGUCCGGCCGGGCCUUUCCCUCUGCGGAACCCCAUGCCCUUCACUGGGUGUGGCGGGGAAACNGGACUUUUACUUUGAAAAAAUUAGAGUGCUCAAGGCAGGCCUAUGCUCGAAUACAUAAGCAUGGAAUAAUAGAAUAGGA
This 273-nucleotide ribosomal RNA is filed under the name uncultured Ascomycota. Its description in RNAcentral is "partial 18S ribosomal RNA". It matches the Rfam family "Eukaryotic small subunit ribosomal RNA", at positions 548 to 827 of the family's 1831-position model. Lineage: Eukaryota; Fungi; Ascomycota. The record is from RNAcentral.